UUGCCAUGAUAGCUUUAGACAGUU
RNAcentral lists this microRNA (24 nucleotides) under Oreochromis niloticus (Nile tilapia). RNAcentral's name for it is "oni-miR-10639". Lineage: Eukaryota; Metazoa; Chordata; Actinopteri; Cichliformes; Cichlidae. The record is from miRBase by way of RNAcentral.